RNAcentral lists this transfer RNA (77 nucleotides) under Acetobacter nitrogenifigens DSM 23921 = NBRC 105050. RNAcentral's name for it is "tRNA-Arg". It matches the Rfam family "tRNA". Rfam says of the family: Transfer RNA (tRNA) molecules are approximately 80 nucleotides in length. Their secondary structure includes four short double-helical elements and three loops (D, anti-codon, and T loops). Further hydrogen bonds mediate the characteristic L-shaped molecular structure. tRNAs have two regions of fundamental functional importance: the anti-codon, which is responsible for specific mRNA codon recognition, and the 3' end, to which the tRNAs corresponding amino acid is attached (by aminoacyl-tRNA synthetases). tRNAs cope with the degeneracy of the genetic code in two manners: having more than one tRNA (with a specific anti-codon) for a particular amino acid; and 'wobble' base-pairing, i.e. permitting non-standard base-pairing at the 3rd anti-codon position. Lineage: Bacteria; Pseudomonadati; Pseudomonadota; Alphaproteobacteria; Acetobacterales; Acetobacteraceae. The record is from RNAcentral.
GGACCCGUAGCUCAGCUGGAUAGAGCGUCGCCCUCCGAAGGCGAAGGUCGGAGGUUCGAAUCCUCUCGGGUCCGCCA